Corapipo altera (White-ruffed manakin) is the source of this 1095-nucleotide long non-coding RNA. RefSeq lists it as uncharacterized. Lineage: Eukaryota; Metazoa; Chordata; Aves; Passeriformes; Pipridae. The transcript is spliced from 3 exons. The record is from RefSeq and is a predicted model, not a curated record.
GGAGCUCACAGCUGGGAGCAGAGAACCCUGUGUCUAAUCCCUCCCUUUGGACCCCAGCCCGUUGCAGUGUCUACAAGCUCAAUCUGUUCUUCCUGUUAUUUUCCAACCACAUAUGGAGCUGCAGUGCCGCCCACCAGUGCUCCCAGAUGUGCUCCUCCAUGUUUAAUGAAGCUUUUGAGCAGACCUGAGCCCCACAAACAGCAAACCCCACCUCUCAGAGACACCGGGAAUACUUCUGCUGCUUCAUGGUGGGAACAGGCUUUUCUGCCUGAUUGGGAUGGGUGCCAGCAUGACCUCUCUCUUCUGGGGAGUCUGUGCUUGUGCCUCUCCUUGGAGCAGGAAGAGGAAAGCCCUGUCUCUCCACAUCACUGAGCUGAACCUGUGUCCACACCAGCUGCAAGGGUUGUAGACACAUAGUCUUAGGUGGACAAGCAGUGAGAAGAGGUCUUCAAAGAGUGAAGCAAGAGGCUUCGCAGCUAUUGAGAAAGGAAUUAAGUGCAAUCCAGAGACGAUCUCUCAGCUUCUGUGGUAAUCCCCAGUGCAGUUGCACUGUACAGGAUGGCAGAUGUGUGCCUCAGAGGUGGGCGGCAAGAACAGUCAAGAACAGGUAGGUAUUUUUCUGUGGAAACUUGAGAAGAGUUAGCCUGGGAAAGCAGAAAGGCAGCAGAAACAAUGCUGCGACAGCCUCGGGGACAGGACUAUCAUUUCCUGAGGCAUCAGCAUCAGCAAAGGAGAAAAAUUUUUUCACACAAAUUAAUACAUUAGUAUCUUGGAGUUGACUGACACAGUUUUCCCAGGGUUAAAUGCUUAAUGAAUCAAAGUGAGGAGGUAAAACACCAUACAAACAGACCGACAGGGUGAACACAACAGUCCUGCAGAGAAGCCCUGUGCCGCAGUGAUAGGCACUGCUGUGGUAAGGGUCACUCUCUGUGUCCCUUCUGAGAUAUUUUCUUCCCCAGACUCUGUUGCCAGUCACUGCUGUCACACUGGAGCUUGUCCCCUGUGAGACCUCCAGCAGCAGAACCUCUGCAAUGGAGAGGUACGUCAGGCAGAGGGCUUUUGCAUCACAAGCCCUCAGUACAGGCUAAGCCCCAC